This 253-nucleotide ribosomal RNA is filed under the name uncultured bacterium. RNAcentral describes it as "partial 16S ribosomal RNA". It matches the Rfam family "Bacterial small subunit ribosomal RNA", at positions 524 to 776 of the family's 1533-position model. The record is from RNAcentral.
UACGGGGGGGGCAAGCGUUGUUCGGAAUUACUGGGCGUAAAGGGCGCGUAGGCGGCCUGCUAAGUCGGAUGUGAAAUCCCUCGGCUCAACCGAGGAACUGCAUCCGAUACUGGCGGGCUUGAAUCCGGGAGAGGGAUGUGGAAUUCCUGGUGUAGCGGUGAAAUGCGCAGAUAUCAGGAAGAACACCUAUGGCGAAGGCAGCACUCUGGGACGGUACUGACGCUGAGACGCGAAAGCGUGGGGAGCGAACAGG